This is a small nucleolar RNA of Malus domestica (apple), 107 nucleotides long. The record is from RefSeq and is a predicted model, not a curated record. NCBI's taxonomy places the organism in Eukaryota, Viridiplantae, Streptophyta, Magnoliopsida, Rosales, Rosaceae.
AAAUUAUGGUGAGGGGACAUACUCAAAAGCUUUUGAUAACGUUCCCAUGCUUCAAAAAAUGGCUCAUCUUCCUCUUGUGAAAAAUGCAUGAUUUCUUGCCUCAAAGC